UACGUAGGGUGCGAGCGUUAAUCGGAAUUAUUGGGCGUAAAGCGCGCGCAGGCGGUCGUUUAAGUCUGGUGUUUAAGCCCGGGGCUCAACCCCGGUUCGCACUGGAAACUGGAUGACUUGAGUGCAGGAGAGGAAAGUGGAAUUCCACGUGUAGCGGUGAAAUGCGUAGAGAUGUGGAGGAACACCAGUGGCGAAGGCGACUUUCUGGACUGUAACUGACGCUGAGGCGCGAAAGCGUGGGGAGCAAACAGG
This 252-nucleotide ribosomal RNA is filed under the name uncultured bacterium. RNAcentral describes it as "partial 16S ribosomal RNA". It matches the Rfam family "Bacterial small subunit ribosomal RNA", at positions 524 to 776 of the family's 1533-position model. The record is from RNAcentral.